UUGAACACAAAGUUUCUCGUUGCCCAGCUCACAGAUUAGGGUGCAGUAAAAAGGCGGGCUUUAGAAUGGAAGGUGAAACUGUGCCCCAACUCGUGCAGAGUUCUGAAGCCUGUGCGGCUAGUUAUUGGUACGCAGUGACGCAAAACUUUGGGUCGUCCUCAGAAGUUUUCACUGAACACCCCAUACAUAAAGAUGAAGUCCAUCAUAACUGUCCUAUAUGCAAAAAAUCGUUUAAAUGAAAAUCUGAACUGAUGCGACAUCACAGAGCCCACACAGGUAUUCGACCUUUUAUGUGUCAUCUGUGUUUUAAGAGCUUUAACUACAACAGUGCUCUCUUGGAACAUUUACGUGUACAUUCUGGAGAGAAACCAUACAAAUGCAGUGAGUGCAACAAAUGUUUUAGACAAGGGUCGACUCUUAACAGACACAAAAAGAUACACACAGGAGAAAAGCCGCAUCAAUGUGAAGUCUGUGGCAAGUGUUUUUCUGAAAAGAAAGGCCGUGAUGUUCACAAAAGGACACACAUUUGUAAACAGCCAUUUUAUUGUUCCAAGUGCCAUCAGUAUUUCAUGCGCAGGGCAUCUCUGCUUAGACAUAUCAAGAAAAAUCAUCCAAUUAUUGAGUCCAGCACAGGUUGUUUAGAUGACAAGACUGGAAAAUACCAGAGUCAUGAAAGCAAAGCACCACAAGCUACAGAGGUAACAGUGAAAGUAGAGAAACCAGAUAGUGAGGAAAUGAGUCUUGAGAUGCUCAUUAAAGAAAGUGACCUUUUGACUGAUUUGAACUAUCUCAAAGAGGAGGUUGUAGACUGAUAUGAACAGAACUUGGUACCUUUUUCUCUUAUUACAGCGAGACAUGGAAAAAUACUAACACAUUGAUUUGAUUCUGACAGGUCAAUAAUGUGUGCCGACCAACAAGUGUAAAAGAGUUUCCAAAGCUAACUUUUCAAGCAUUAGCCCUUUGUCAUUCACUCUGAUGAAGGGGUAAGGCUUGGUGUAUGAGCCUUAGAGAUUCUAUGGUGGCCAACUGACAUAAUCAACCCAAUUGAUCAAACCAAAUUAUCUUAUAAUACCCUCUAGUGUUGCAGCAACUUGGUUUCUUUAGAAACUUACCAGUUACUUACCCUUAUCUUUAACGACUAUAAAGUUCAGAGCAUGCAAGAAAACCUCAAACUGAUUACUGUUGCUGUUUGUAGCUAAAUUUUCACAAGUCUGAAUGGCUUUUUUCUUUUGGAAAUAGUUCUGCUCACUUUUUUUUUUUUUGAGUUUCACAAUGAAAUUAAUCACCAGUAAAGGCUUGUUUCAUCCCUUCAGCACCCAAGAGUACGCCAUUACUUUACUUCAAUUUUUCAUACAGUUAUAUCUCUGCCAAAAAAGCAGGUGAACGAAAUUUAAAAAAUUUUCAGCCAGGGAAUAUUGAUGAUAUUUACCAUCACUUUCUUCGGAACAGCAAACAAAGAAAUGUGUUGAGAUUUGACCGGAGAGUUUGCUUUCAGAUCUUGGUUGUUGAAGGAAAAUAUUUUGUACAUUUUCCCAUUUUUCUAGUUUAACCCUUUCACCUUCAAGAUCUCCUUUAUUUAUUUAUUCUCAUCAUUUAUCUGCUUUUUAUUAUAUUGAUAUUGUGAAGAGGAAUUCUAUCUUUGUCAUUUGGUCAGGCAGGAUAGUGUUUCCCAACAGAAGAAAGGGCUUUAUAAUGGUAAUACAGCCCAACAGAGUCUAAUUUUGUCUGUAAUAACAUGAGAGAUAAAAAGAAAAAAACAGAACAACUGCAAAACAGGACUGCAAAAAGUUAAUCUUAAGGAUAAUUGCAGAUAGAAUUGUAGGACUCAAUGCUACCAUCAAUUGAUGAAACUCUGAAAGAAUUUAUGAAACAAAAUACCCUUUAGUAAGAGAAAUUCUUAAAUGCACACAAAGAAGUUAAGUUUUUUUCAGCGAGACCUCGAAGCUUACAGUCCAAAUCCAAAAUUUGAAGAUUCUCCAGCAAUUGUCUUUGAGUAUCAUGAAAAUGUUAAAUAAUCAUACUCACACAGAUAUUAUGAUCAUAUUAUCAACAUAAUUAUAUUUAAGAUUGUAUUUAUUAAGUAUUUAAUAUCUGUCUUUAUCUUGUCAUCUUCCUGUUCAUUUUCCUAUUUCUAGAUUAAACUUAGCUAGCCUCUUACUAA
This is a long non-coding RNA of Stylophora pistillata, 2161 nucleotides long. NCBI's taxonomy places the organism in Eukaryota, Metazoa, Cnidaria, Anthozoa, Scleractinia, Pocilloporidae. The record is from RefSeq and is a predicted model, not a curated record.